CGAUGGUUCAUUCAAAUUUCUGCCCUAUCAACUUUCGAUGGUAGAGUAGUGGUCUACCAUGGUUUCAACGGGUAACGGGGAAUUAGGGUUCUAUUCCGGAGAGGGAGCCUGAGAAACGGCUACACAUCCAAGGAAGGCAGCAGGCGCGCAAAUUGCCCAAUCCCGACACGGGGAGGUAGUGACAAUAAAUACUGAUACAGGGCUCUUUUGGGUCUUGUAAUUGGAAUGAGUACAAUUUACAAUCCCUUAACGAGGAACAAUUGGAGGGCAAGUCUGGUGCCAGCAGCCGCGGUAAUUCCAGCUCCAAUAGCGUAUAUUAAAGUUGUUGCAGUUAAAAAGCUCGUAGUUGAACCUUGGGCCUGGCUGGCCGGUCCGCCUCACCGCGUGCACUGGUCCGGCCGGGCCUUUCCUUCUGGGGAGCCGCAUGCCCUUCACUGGGUGUGUCGGGGAACCAGGACUUUUACUUUGAAAAAAUUAGAGUGUUCAAAGCAGGCCUAUGCUCGAAUACCAUUAGCAUGG
Molecule: ribosomal RNA, 519 nt
Filed under: uncultured fungus
Lineage: Eukaryota; Fungi
Description: SSU rRNA
Rfam family: Eukaryotic small subunit ribosomal RNA
Source: RNAcentral